Molecule: ribosomal RNA, 154 nt
Filed under: Cytospora leucosperma
Lineage: Eukaryota; Fungi; Ascomycota; Sordariomycetes; Diaporthales; Cytosporaceae
Also listed under: 3 other names
Description: Valsa ambiens 5.8S ribosomal RNA
Rfam family: 5.8S ribosomal RNA
About the family: 5.8S ribosomal RNA (5.8S rRNA) is a component of the large subunit of the eukaryotic ribosome.
Source: RNAcentral
AACUUUCAACAACGGAUCUCUUGGUUCUGGCAUCGAUGAAGAACGCAGCGAAAUGCGAUAAGUAAUGUGAAUUGCAGAAUUCAGUGAAUCAUCGAAUCUUUGAACGCACAUUGCGCCCUCUGGUAUUCCAGAGGGCAUGCCUGUUCGAGCGUCA